This 862-nucleotide ribosomal RNA is filed under the name uncultured bacterium. RNAcentral describes it as "bacterial SSU rRNA". It matches the Rfam family "Bacterial small subunit ribosomal RNA", at positions 58 to 916 of the family's 1533-position model. The record is from RNAcentral.
CAAGUCGACGAUGAACCUUAGCUUGCUAGGGGAAUUAGUGGCGAACGGGUGAGUAAUAUAUCGGAACGUACCUUGUAAUGGGGGAUAACUAGUCGAAAGAUUAGCUAAUACCGCAUACGCCCUGAGGGGGAAAGUAGGGGAUCUUCGGACCUUACGUUAUAAGAGCGGCCGAUAUCUGAUUAGCUAGUUGGUGGGGUAAUGGCCUACCAAGGCGACGAUCAGUAGCUGGUCUGAGAGGACGACCAGCCACACUGGAACUGAGACACGGUCCAGACUCCUACGGGAGGCAGCAGUGGGGAAUUUUGGACAAUGGGCGAAAGCCUGGUCCAGCCAUUCCGCGUGAGUGAAGAAGGCCUUCGGGUUGUAAAGCUCUUUCGCAAGGGAAGAAAACUUACAUUCUAAUAAAGUGUGAGGCUGACGGUACCUUGAUAAGAAGCACCGGCUAACUACGUGCCAGCAGCCGCGGUAAUACGUAGGGUGCGAGCGUUAAUCGGAAUUACUGGGCGUAAAGCGUGCGCAGGCGGUUUGGCAAGUCAGAUGUGAAAUCCCCGAGCUCAACUUGGGAACUGCGUUUGAAACUGCCAGACUAGAAUAUGUCAGAGGGGGGUAGAAUUCCACGUGUAGCAGUGAAAUGCGUAGAGAUGUGGAGGAUACCAAUGGCGAAGGCAGCCCCCUGGGAUAAUAUUGACGCUCAUGCACGAAAGCGUGGGGAGCAAACAGGAUUAGAUACCCUGGUAGUCCACGCCCUAAACGAUGUCUACUAGUUGUUGGUGGAGUAAAAUCCAUGAGUAACGCAGCUAACGCGUGAAGUAGACCGCCUGGGGAGUACGGUCGCAAGAUUAAAACUCAAAGGAAUUGACGG